Molecule: ribosomal RNA, 459 nt
Filed under: uncultured bacterium
Lineage: Bacteria
Description: partial 16S ribosomal RNA
Rfam family: Bacterial small subunit ribosomal RNA
Source: RNAcentral
CCUACGGGUGGCAGCAGUGAGGAAUAUUGGUCAAUGGUCGGGAGACUGAACCAGCCAAGCCGCGUGAGGGAGGAAGGUACAGAGUAUCGUAAACCUCUUUUGUCAGGGAACAAAGGCGGGGACGUGUCCCCGGAUGAGUGUACCUGAAGAAAAAGCAUCGGCUAACUCCGUGCCAGCAGCCGCGGUACUACGGAGGAUGCGAGCGUUAUCCGGAUUUAUUGGGUUUAAAGGGUGCGCAGGCGGGCUGUUAAGUCAGCGGUAAAAGCCCGGGGUGCAACCCCGGCCCGCCGUUGAAACUGGCAGUCUCGAGUUGGAGAGAAGUAUGCGGAAUGCGCGGUGUAGCGGUGAAAUGCAUAGAUAUCGCGCAGAACUCCGAUUGCGAAGGCAGCAUGCCGGCUCCACACUGACGCUGAGGCACGAAAGCGUGGGUAUCGAACAGGAUUAGAUACCCGAGUAGUC